This 73-nucleotide transfer RNA is filed under the name Ursus americanus (American black bear). It matches the Rfam family "tRNA". From Rfam's summary of the family: Transfer RNA (tRNA) molecules are approximately 80 nucleotides in length. RNAcentral also lists the same sequence under 2 other names. The record is from Rfam by way of RNAcentral. Lineage: Eukaryota; Metazoa; Chordata; Mammalia; Carnivora; Ursidae.
UCCUGACUGGCCCAAUUUGUAGAGCAUGAGACUCUUGAUCUUAGGGUUGUAGGUUUGAGCCCCAUGUUGGGUA